RNAcentral lists this ribosomal RNA (492 nucleotides) under uncultured bacterium. Its description in RNAcentral is "partial 16S ribosomal RNA". It matches the Rfam family "Bacterial small subunit ribosomal RNA", at positions 29 to 507 of the family's 1533-position model. The record is from RNAcentral.
AGUGAACGCUGGCGGUAGGCCUAACACAUGCAAGUCGAACGGCAGCACAGUAAGAGCUUGCUCUUAUGGGUGGCGAGUGGCGGACGGGUGAGGAAUACAUCGGAAUCUACUUUUUCGUGGGGGAUAACGUAGGGAAACUUACGCUAAUACCGCAUACGACCUACGGGUGAAAGCAGGGGAUCUUCGGACCUUGCGCGAUUGAAUGCGCCGAUGUCGGAUUAGCUAGUUGGCGGGGUAAAGGCCCACCAAGGCGACGAUCCGUAGCUGGUCUGAGAGGAUGAUCAGCCACACUGGAACUGAGACACGGUCCAGACUCCUACGGGAGGCAGCAGUGGGGAAUAUUGGACAAUGGGCGCAAGCCUGAUCCAGCCAGACCGCGUGGGUGAAGAAGGCCUUCGGGUUGUAAAGCCCUUUUGUUGGGAAAGAAAAGCAGCAGGUUAAUACCCCGCUGUUCUGACGGUACCCAAAGAAUAAGCACCGGCUAACUUCGUG